GUAGCGGGUUGGAAAGAAUACGAAUUAUCCCUCAGUUCGAGGUCAUGGCAAUGCCUUCAAAUUAAGAGAGAAGAAGAAAAUGUAAUAAUAUUAUUUGCUGCCUUAUUUUAUUUCAUUAUCAUCAUCUUAGAGUACAAAGUCAUAAGGUUUGUGAAAGUAAAAAAACAAAUUUAUUGGGUAUCAACAAUAAAUAAAUAAAAGACAGCUCGUGAAAUAUUCUUACAAAAGGUAUAUUGUGUAUAUCUUUUGUUACUCCAACAACUAAUUAUUUAUAAUAUGAAAUUUGUGUACUCCGUUGGGUAUGGUACUCAUAGGUUCAAUGGAACCCAUUGGCACACAUUUACAAUGAUUGUGAAUGCACCUUUUGAUUAUAGGAAACAAGCAUAGAAUGUAUUCACAAUCAGCAUCAGUAGAACAUUCAUCUGUAUAUGCUGCAAUGAAAAAGGGAAUUGAAAAACAUUUGUAAAAUGGGAUGAAAUUUUAUGUACAAGCUAUUAAGUAAUUUAAUAAAAUUCUAAAAGAAUGAAAAAAUGACUUACAUGCAACAAGAAAUAUGGAAUGAAAUACAAUCAUAGCAUAAAACAACAUGAGAAUUUUAGUCAUAUUUUAUCCUCUUUGUAGGUAAAAAAAUAUAAUAUGGUUAAUAACUUUAUAAUGCCU
RNAcentral lists this long non-coding RNA (660 nucleotides) under Medicago truncatula (barrel medic). Its description in RNAcentral is "lncRNA gene38870". The record is from RNAcentral. Lineage: Eukaryota; Viridiplantae; Streptophyta; Magnoliopsida; Fabales; Fabaceae.